RNAcentral lists this transfer RNA (71 nucleotides) under Marmota monax (woodchuck). RNAcentral describes it as "tRNA.Gly". The record is from RNAcentral. Lineage: Eukaryota; Metazoa; Chordata; Mammalia; Rodentia; Sciuridae.
GUGGAUGUAGCACAGUGGUAGUAUACUUGCCUACCAUGCACAAGUACCUGGGUUCCACCCCCAGUACUACG